Molecule: ribosomal RNA, 326 nt
Filed under: uncultured eukaryote
Lineage: Eukaryota
Description: partial 18S ribosomal RNA
Rfam family: Eukaryotic small subunit ribosomal RNA
Source: RNAcentral
CCCUUAGAUGUUCUGGGCCGCACGCGCGCUACACUGAUGCAUUCAACAAGCCUAGCCUUGACCGAGAGGUCCUGGUAAUCUUUGAAACUGCAUCGUGAUGGGGCUAGAUUAUUGCAAUUAUUAAUCUUCAACGAGGAAUGCCUAGUAAGCGUGAUUCAUCAAAUCGCGUUGAUUACGUCCCUGCCCUUUGUACACACCGCCCGUCGCUCCUACCGAUUGAAUGUGUUGGUGAGGAGCUCGGAUUGGCAGCAGUUGGUGGUUCGCCACCGGCUAUUGCUGAGAAGUCCUCCAAACCGCCCCAUUUAGAGGAAGGAGAAGUCGUAACA